This is a small nucleolar RNA of Fukomys damarensis (Damara mole-rat), 135 nucleotides long. Its record names the gene U8. It matches the Rfam family "U8 small nucleolar RNA". Rfam says of the family: U8 is a member of the C/D class of snoRNA which contain the C (UGAUGA) and D (CUGA) box motifs. U8 is the RNA component of a small complex (the U8 snoRNP) which is required for accumulation of mature large subunit ribosomal RNAs, 5.8S and 28S rRNAs. The record is from Ensembl. Lineage: Eukaryota; Metazoa; Chordata; Mammalia; Rodentia; Bathyergidae.
UCGUCAGGUGGGAUAAUCCUUACCUGUCCCUCCUUUUGGAGGGCAGAUAGAAUAUGAUGAUUGGAGUUUGCAUGAUACGUGAUUAGCGUUUCUGCGUGAUCAGGACUUGCAACACCCUGAUUACUCCUAUCUGAU